This is a non-coding RNA of Venturia effusa, 80 nucleotides long. The record is from the annotation of a GenBank genome assembly. NCBI's taxonomy places the organism in Eukaryota, Fungi, Ascomycota, Dothideomycetes, Venturiales, Venturiaceae.
GCCCGCGUGGCUCAGGGGUAGAGCGUCUCACUCGUAGCCACGCAAUGAGAAGGUCGAUAGUUCGAAUCUGUUCGUGGGCA